This is a long non-coding RNA of Capsicum annuum, 775 nucleotides long. RefSeq lists it as uncharacterized. The transcript has 2 exons. The record is from RefSeq and is a predicted model, not a curated record. NCBI's taxonomy places the organism in Eukaryota, Viridiplantae, Streptophyta, Magnoliopsida, Solanales, Solanaceae.
UUUUUGAAAAGAAAUUAUUCUAUGUGCCAAAAUAAAAUUUUUCUCAUUUUGUAUUUGCACCCAAACCUAAUCAAAAUUCUAAUAUCUUUCCCUCCCUUUUUAAAAAAAAUAAAGAAAUAAAAUACCAGUAAAGAUAAAGUUUCCCCCAAAAAUUAAAAGCCAACUUAAUAAACCACUCCUUCCUUCCCACGUACAAGCACCCAAAUCCCACAUCUCUUUUCCCCUAGUUCCUCUCCCUUGUUUCUAACAUUCCAUGCCAUAUCUUUUCUUUUUAAAAAAAAAAAAAAAAAUUCUUUUUAUGCCUACACAUGGAGGAUGAGCAUCACCCAUCCUUACCUCAUAUAUUGAUACACUUUAAUUAUUUAUUAAUGUGAUUUUUGAUAAUUAAUUUUAUCUUUUGCAGGUUUAAUAAGGCAGGAUGGAUGUUGAAUAGUUUUCUGAAUAUAAAGAAACUCCUAGUUCAUUGUUGACAGUAACAAUGGAGAUGUUCAUCACAGUAACAAGGAACGAGACAAUAAGAAGUUCAUCUCACACAAGGAAAUGGAGCAGGCCAAAGCAAAUAAAAGGAUUGAGCCCAUAUUAGGCCAGUCAUCAGUACCAACAACCCACAAGUCCAAAUAUUUAGCUUAGACUAGAAAGUUCUUUUAUUUUAGCUUAGAAGAGAAGUUUCUUAUUUUAUUUUUAUUUUCAUUGUUUAGCUUAGAAGAGAAGAUUCUUUAACUUGUAUAAAUAAACAUGAUUGGCAAGAAAUAUACAGACAAGAAAAAUUCUCAAA